This 713-nucleotide ribosomal RNA is filed under the name uncultured bacterium. RNAcentral's name for it is "bacterial SSU rRNA". It matches the Rfam family "Bacterial small subunit ribosomal RNA", at positions 25 to 731 of the family's 1533-position model. The record is from RNAcentral.
CAGAUUGAACGCUGGCGGCAUGCCUUACACAUGCAAGUCGAACGGCAGCAUAGGAGCUUGCUCCUGAUGGCGAGUGGCGAACGGGUGAGUAAUAUAUCGGAACGUGCCCUAGAGUGGGGGAUAACUAGUCGAAAGACUAGCUAAUACCGCAUACGAUCUACGGAUGAAAGUGGGGGAUCGCAAGACCUCAUGCUCCUGGAGCGGCCGAUAUCUGAUUAGCUAGUUGGUGGGGUAAAAGCCUACCAAGGCAACGAUCAGUAGCUGGUCUGAGAGGACGACCAGCCACACUGGGACUGAGACACGGCCCAGACUCCUACGGGAGGCAGCAGUGGGGAAUUUUGGACAAUGGGGGCAACCCUGAUCCAGCAAUGCCGCGUGAGUGAAGAAGGCCUUCGGGUUGUAAAGCUCUUUUGUCAGGGAAGAAACGGUGGUGGCGAAUAACUACUACUAAUGACGGUACCUGAAGAAUAAGCACCGGCUAACUACGUGCCAGCAGCCGCGGUAAUACGUAGGGUGCAAGCGUUAAUCGGAAUUACUGGGCGUAAAGCGUGCGCAGGCGGUUGUGUAAGUCAGAUGUGAAAUCCCCGGGCUCAACCUGGGAAUUGCAUUUGAGACUGCACGGCUAGAGUGUGUCAGAGGGGGGUAGAAUUCCACGUGUAGCAGUGAAAUGCGUAGAUAUGUGGAGGAAUACCGAUGGCGAAGGCAGCCCCCUG